Molecule: long non-coding RNA, 3693 nt
Organism: Corythoichthys intestinalis (scribbled pipefish)
Lineage: Eukaryota; Metazoa; Chordata; Actinopteri; Syngnathiformes; Syngnathidae
Exons: 4
Source: RefSeq, a predicted model, not a curated record
UUGAGGAACUCAACAUUUUUAGACAAUGGCAAUUUCAAAAUUUUUACCCCUCUCGCAGUAUUGGGGAUGAAGCCUUGCGCCCUCUUGAGGGUGUGUAACUAAGUCAUUUCUGAAUAUUUUUUUACUUGUGACAUCUGAAAAUGAAAUGGAAAAUUUUUACCCCUCUUGCAGUAUUGGAGCCAAAAGUCACUCUUGGAAGUGUGACAACUAAGUCAUUUCUGAAUAUUGUUUUUUUUUUACCUUCAACCACUAAAAAUAUUCACUGGCAUCAGAAUAACAGUCAACAAGUCACAACAACUAGAAGAAUUUUGAAUUAACAGAAUCUAUAUAACUCAAACGCACAACAACAAACUACUGCACUAGAACAACAAACAACUCAACUAGAACAACAAACAACCAGUGAGCUUUUUUUAAAAAAAAAAAACAAUUUGCACACUUUUUGGCCAUGUUUUUGGCUAAAGAAAAUGCCACAUUUGCAGCUAAUGUUUGAUGCCCGUAGUCGGUUAAUGCAAAGGCCACAUUGCCCACAUUUCUGGCUUUGUGGCGUGGCCACCACUGCGGGGUCCACCUGAGUAAAGAGGGUGAAUGCAUUGAAGAGAGACAGAUCCAGCAUAUGAUAUGAUAUGGACAUUGGCCAUCGUAAUGUCCUCCAGCAGCAAGAAUAUGUGGCAGAUGCCUGCAAAUAACACACACACACACAAAAAAACACAUCAGAUGAUGUCAGAUGACCAGAGAGCUUUGAUGCAAAGUUUUGAAAAAGACAUAACAUAUGCUUACCUGGUCCAAGUGAUCGACUGCCGCUUUACACAGAUCGUAGUCCAAAAUAAUCUUGGGCUUUUUUUUUUAGACAAUCUGCUGGAUAAUGUCGUCCGGGCAAAACAGAUUGACAGUAGUCUCGGGGCUACUGAUCCUGGCAAUUGCAAAAAGCGUUGGGCCAGGCAAUAGAAUAGGGGGCAGGUUGAAGUGCCUCGAAACUUCAUUUGUAGAGGACCACACAAUUUCUUGGUUUUUGGCAAGCCAUGGAGUGCUGACCUGAUUCUGUUGUUGUUGCUCCUCUGCUGCUUCUGCUGUAACCUCCUCAAAAUCCUAAUCAUCAUCCUCUUCCUCCUCUCCUACAAGUGGCUCAAAAUCUUCAUCAUAGUCUUGUGACACAUCAUCCUUUUCAUCCAUUGAGUCUGUGGGACAUUCCUCCUCCAACACCAUUUUUCUUGCCUCCUGAAGAAAAAAUAUUCUCGCCAUCUCUGCUCACCAGCAGUCACAGGGAGUAAAAUGGCCUUUGAGUAGUGAUGGGACGAAAUGAGCCGAGGUUCCGAAGCUUGUGUCGAGUAAUGGGAGGGGGGUUUCCACGAAGCUUGUAGCGAGGCACGCUUCAUUUCGGCAAAACCCGGAAAUGAUGACGUGGGAAGCCUUGCCGGCGGCCGGCGGCCGGCUGAAUCUCGUGAGUGCUUCGGAAGUGAUCCAACGUUUGGCGCACAUUGCAAAAACAGGACAGACUACGGUAUAAAUUGGUUGAAAACGCAAUGGCGAUCGCCUGUUAUCGCACAUUUUGUGGAUUUCGGGCUCCUGUACUUGUUACAUCUGUGCGCAACAGUGCAACCAGUGCAAUCUUUUUUCGAGCCUUGUCCUUUGCUUGCGAUGGAACCUGCGCGAAAAGAGCGAUCCUCCCCUGUAUGGGAACAUUUUGAUUUGAUUGCUUUCAAUAAGAGCGAGUUCCGUAUAGGAGAACUUGACUAACCCUCCAGCAAGAUCUCCGCCUGGUUGCGGAAAACGUCGACCAGCCCGUACGACGCAAACUCCGACAGCUUGGCCAGCAGCUGCUCCUCGUUGCGAGACACUUUCUCCUGCGCGUAAAGACCGUCGGGCAUGACCCUCUGCUGUCCCAGGCCGAUCAGCGCCACCUCCGCAGCGAGCUCCUCCGUGUCCUCUACAUCCAGGAACUCAUCGUGAAGAAUCUCCAUCAGGGUGCUGUAGAGGGUCCCCACGGGGUCUAACGGGUGUCCCACCCAACCCUCCAGUGGCCGCCCUUGGCUGUCAAAGAGCUCCGAGUUGUCGUGGCGAGAGCAAUCGGCGUAGCGGUCCUCGGUGAGGAUGCGUUGCAGGUGGGGGUCCUGCCAGUUCAGGGAGCAGGCCUCUAUGGCUCUUGUGAAAACAGUUCGCUGAGUGUUUUUCUUCUGUGGGAUUUCACCUCCCAAGCCUGCUUAAAUGUGAAAAAACAAGUGCUAGUGUGCUACUACGGGCCGAAGGCUGCCCUCCACUGGCUAACUUGUAACCUACAGGCAAUAGGUCCACAAUUAAUUUGCCUCGCUGGGCAGUCGGGCUGCAGCUAUUAAAGGGAAUAGUUAUCUUUCUCGCACACACCAUAUAACUGUUUGCAUUACUCUAACACACUUAAUAUAAACAAUCAGGGAAUAGUACCGUUUCUCAUAUGUACUGUAGGAUUGUUUGUAGAGGUGGGAAUCUUUGGGCACCUAACGAUUCAAUUGCGAUUCAGAGACUCCGAUUCGAUUAUAAAUCGAUUAUUGAUGCCCCCCUCCCCCCCAUUUUAAAAAAUGUUUUGUAUAUUUGUUCCAAAAUUGUUCAAAAAUCCUCUCAGGCUAAAUAAACCAAACUACUAUUUUAGUAUCAAGUUACCGGUUAAAAACAGUAAAUAAAAUACUCAAGUCCCCAUUCUGUAUCAGCAGCUUUAAACCACAUUCAAUUAAUUUAAUGUUGUGAAUCAACCAUUAAAGUUGUUAAAAUUGCGCCCGUUAUUCCAUAAUUUCCCUCAUGUCUACUUUCGACAUGUGAAAGUUUUAAAACUGUUUGAUCAUUUAAAGAUAGAUUCAAGUCAAGAUUUUGCCGAUUUAGGGGUAUUUUAGAUAAAAAGUAAUUAGGUUCCCUACAACAGUGCCUUCUAGAGAAAUCUACUGCUUUAAGAUGGCGCCUGUUUACUAGCGCGGGAAAGUCUGUCAUUUCACAUCUAGUCUAGAUAUAUGUGAUAUCUACCAUAGCCGUAUGUUUGUAGCAACUAGAACUGGGCGCUGUUUGUAGCGGCUGACGGCCACAGUCAGGUAUUGUUUUUUUUUUUUUUUUUACCUAGCGGCAUUAGCUGCACAUGAUAUUUACUCUCGUUCCAUUCCUCGUUGCGCCCCAAAGACCGCGCGGUGCGCUGAGUGUGUUGUACUUCCGCUUUACCUGGUAUAAUUCAAUAAUCGGAAUUUGGAUGGUUGUGAAUCAUUCUCGAAUCUUCCACGGCCGAAUUGCGAAUAAUCUAAGAAUUGGAAAUUUUGCACCCCUCUAAUUGUUUGUACUACUCUAACACACCUAAUAUAAAAUAAAUAGCACACCAUAGUUUAAUGAAAAGAAGCAGAAUAGAUACACAACGCCAUCUUAUCACAGAAGCCCAACAUGUGCGUCACGAGCAAGAUUGACGCACCAACUCUCGCAAUCAUUUCUCCCGGCCACUCCAAAGACAAAGAGCAGGGCGCUUUGUCCUAAAACAAGUAGCGUCUCGCCCAGCCUGGGUAAUAAGUUGAUAGUGGGCGAUUGGGACGUCAAGACCAGCGUCGGUCGCUGUGGCAACCACGUCCCAGCCAUGAACGAUGAUGCACGAACCUAACCGCCCAAAACCGGCCACAGAGGGAUGACCCCAAGACAAUACCCAGCCACACCGUCGGCCCAGCCCAUUCGACCGCAGCUUUCAAAAAGACUGGA